RNAcentral lists this ribosomal RNA (373 nucleotides) under uncultured organism. RNAcentral's name for it is "partial 16S ribosomal RNA". It matches the Rfam family "Bacterial small subunit ribosomal RNA", at positions 527 to 896 of the family's 1533-position model. The record is from RNAcentral.
GUAGGUGGCAAGCGUUGUCCGGAAUUAUUGGGCGUAAAGCGCGCGCAGGCGGUUCUUUAAGUCUGAUGUGAAAGCCCACGGCUCAACCGUGGAGGGUCAUUGGAAACUGGAGAACUUGAGUACAGAAGAGGAAAGCGGAAUUCCACGUGUAGCGGUGAAAUGCGUAGAGAUGUGGAGGAACACCAGUGGCGAAGGCGGCUUUCUGGUCUGUAACUGACGCUGAGGCGCGAAAGCGUGGGGAGCAAACAGGGAUUAGAUACCCUGGUAGUCCACGCUGUAAACGAUGAGUGCUAAGUGUUAGGGGGUUUCCGCCCCCCUUAGUGCUGCAGCUAACGCAUUAAGCACUCCGCCUGGGAGUACGGCCGCAAGGCUG